Molecule: unclassified non-coding RNA, 299 nt
Filed under: Hevea brasiliensis (rubber tree)
Lineage: Eukaryota; Viridiplantae; Streptophyta; Magnoliopsida; Malpighiales; Euphorbiaceae
Source: RNAcentral
UAGGACACAUAGCUCAAGCGCUUCAUUUUCAAUCAUAGCAAAAGGAAACUUGAUCAAAGCUUCUAGUUCAUAUUCUUCAAACUUAGGCUCCUCUACUUCAAGUUAUGUGUUUGAAUCCUAAAGUUCACUUUGUUCCUCACUUUCUCGUUUUUCAACAACCAAGUAGGGAUGACAAUGGGUCUGGUUUUUGCGGGUACUCUAUCCGACCGAAAAGGACGAGUUUGGGUAAUAUAUUAUCAAGUUUGGAACGGAUUUGAGUUUAAAAUUUAAUACUCUUGACGGGUUCGAAUCGGGUUCGG